This 405-nucleotide ribosomal RNA is filed under the name uncultured bacterium. RNAcentral describes it as "bacterial SSU rRNA". It matches the Rfam family "Bacterial small subunit ribosomal RNA", at positions 30 to 437 of the family's 1533-position model. The record is from RNAcentral.
AUUGAACGCUGGCGGCAUGCCUUACACAUGCAAGUCGAACGGUAACGCGGGGCAACCUGGCGACGAGUGGCGAACGGGUGAGUAAUAUAUCGGAACGUGCCCAAUAGUGGGGGAUAGCCCGGCGAAAGCCGGAUUAAUACCGCAUACGACCUGAGGGUGAAAGCGGGGGAUCGCAAGACCUCGCGCUAUUGGAGCGGCCGAUAUCAGAUUAGGUAGUUGGUGGGGUAAAGGCCUACCAAGCCUACGAUCUGUAGCUGGUCUGAGAGGACGACCAGCCACACUGGGACUGAGACACGGCCCAGACUCCUACGGGAGGCAGCAGUGGGGAAUUUUGGACAAUGGGCGCAAGCCUGAUCCAGCCAUGCCGCGUGCGGGAAGAAGGCCUUCGGGUUGUAAACCGCUUUU